AAUGAUGCAAUCAUAGCUUACUGCAGCUUCUACCUCUGGAGCUCAAGCAAUCCUCCAGCCUCAGCUGACCAAGUAGCUGGGAUUUCAGGCACAUGUCACCACAGCAAGCUAAUUUUUACAUUUUUGUAAAGACAGGGUCUCACUCUUCUGCCCAGGCUGCUCUUGAACUCAUGGGCUCAAGUGAUUCUGCCAUGUCAGCCUCCCAAGUGCUGGGAUUACAGGCUUGAGGCACCAUGCCUGGCCUAGGAAUAGGUCUUAAUCAGUGCUUCUCAUUUGGCCACGUCUGGAGACCCCUCUGGUUGUCACUGUGGGAGAAGCGGUGCUCAUGACAUCUCCCGGGUAGAGCCAGGGUGCCGCUGUGCCUCGCACAGUGCCCGGGGCAGCCCGCACGGCACAGCAUUACCUGGCCCAGAAUGUCCAUUGCACUGAGGUUGAGAGACCCUGGUCUAUGUUAAUCCUGGGACAGGAUCAGCAACAAGCUAAGGAGGAGUCGGCUGAGAGGCUCAUUCGGGGACCAGAGGUCUCCCUAAGGGCCCCUCAGCUGACACACUUCCCCAGCACCUCUUUGUGGCAGGGCAGGCCAGCUUUCCCAAAAUGAGCUAUGCGGGUGAGGCUUCUCCUUGGACUUUCCUCCUUCUUCUCCAUUCUUCUUCCUUUCCAGCAGGCCGGACCCCAGCGCUCGCCUCUCCAUGCCAGGACGCUAUGUGCCUCGCCAGGACAUCGGAGGUACCCAGACAUUGUUAUGAAACUCCGCAUGUGCCCCUGGUGGACGCUGCUGGACCCAGCAUGCACACUUCUCGGCUAAGAGUCACCCUGGAUGAACCACCAUUGCCAGCGGGGAGCAUGUUGCAGCUUUCCCACGCAGUGGAUGAGAACGAAGGUUACGACCAUUGUGUGGGAGGCGUCUGUGUAGCAAUUGCUGGAAUCACUUGUGGCAUUGUAGAAAGACUGAGCGUGGGAAAGAAGACGCAUUCUGAAGUCACCCCGAUUUAUGUUAAAUUAUCACCUUGACUACUGCUAUAGAACGAAUGUUUAUGUCCCCCACCCAAAUUCGUAUGCUAAGACCUAAUAGCCAAUAAGAUAGUAUUAAUAGAUGGGGCCUUUGGGAGGUGAGUGGCUCAUGAGGGCAGAGUCCUCAAAACCAGAUAAGUGCCCGAAUAAAAGGGGCCCCAGAGAGAUCCCUUGCACCGUCUACCAUGUGAAGUGUAGAACACAGCGAGAAGGCCACCUAUGAGCCAGAACGUGGGCCCUCACCAGAACCCAGUUGUGCUGGCACCCUGAUCCUGGACUUCCAGCCUCCAAAAUGACGACAAAGAAGUUUGUUUUUCCUGAGCCAUCCACUUCAAAGUAUUCUGUCAUAGCUCCCCAAAUAGACUAAGACAUCUACUUAACCUUGGUCAAACGUUUAACCUUGGAGUCCACGCCUCUGAAAUGGUGACAAUAACACUGUGUAUUUCCUACUUUAUGAUCAGGAUUAAUAAAUGUAAUUUAUUAAUCAGAAAUUAGUAAUUUCUGAUUAUUA
Molecule: long non-coding RNA, 1522 nt
Organism: Homo sapiens (human)
Lineage: Eukaryota; Metazoa; Chordata; Mammalia; Primates; Hominidae
Product: long intergenic non-protein coding RNA 460
Source: Ensembl